Perca fluviatilis (European perch) is the source of this 256-nucleotide long non-coding RNA. RefSeq lists it as uncharacterized. The transcript has 3 exons. The record is from RefSeq and is a predicted model, not a curated record. NCBI's taxonomy places the organism in Eukaryota, Metazoa, Chordata, Actinopteri, Perciformes, Percidae.
UCCAAAAUGGAGAAUUCCUACCAAAAUCUCAAGUAUAGUGGUUUGCAUUCAAAAUGCAACAUGCCUACAUUUGACAAAAGCUCUGCUUAUUGUACUGAGGUAUAGAAUGUGCACGCGCAAGCGACUUAACCGGUCACCCUUUUUGAGAUUUUGUGUACAGCACCUCCACACAUUGGACUUGGGUAAAGAGGACACCCACCAGAUACACCACUGUGUGAGGACCAACUGGUAACGUAUUAUGGCUCACUGCAAAAGG